GUCUACAGCCAUGCCACCCUGAACAAGCCUAACGUCUGAUCUCGGAAGCUAAGCAGGGUCGAGCCUGGUUAGUACUUGGAUGGGAGACCACCUAGGAAGACUAGAUGUUGUAGACA
RNAcentral lists this ribosomal RNA (116 nucleotides) under Pteropus alecto (black flying fox). Lineage: Eukaryota; Metazoa; Chordata; Mammalia; Chiroptera; Pteropodidae. The record is from RNAcentral.